Long non-coding RNA from Sapajus apella (tufted capuchin), 576 nucleotides. RefSeq lists it as uncharacterized. Lineage: Eukaryota; Metazoa; Chordata; Mammalia; Primates; Cebidae. The transcript has 2 exons. The record is from RefSeq and is a predicted model, not a curated record.
AGCAACAUAAUUAGGAAACUCCUCUCUAGGGAAGGCAGCUUGAUGGAGAGUGUAGGAACCUGGCUUGCCUGUCUCCAGCCAUCUGCCACAUUAAAGAAGGCCUCCUAUGGCUGGAAUCCAAGACACAAAAUUAAAAGGGCUGCUUGCACCCAAAGUCAUAAAACAAAGAGGCUUUCUGAAGCAGGCCUUGGAGUGAACACUCAUUUCUUCCUGACUUAAACAGCAUCUGUUUCUCCUGAUGAUUAGAAGAACAGACCCCAUGUAGACAUUAGUCCAAGGAAAAUGAAAAUGCGCAUGGUGCAGAGUGGAUCCCAACCCACAGUCAGAGCCUAGCUCAACAGACCUGCAAGCCUGAAGCACAGUUACCCACGCUGAUUCACAGACCGAAGAAUGAGAAAAAGUAACGUCUGUUGUUGUAUACCACUGAGAUUCUGGGUUUGUUUGUUAUGAAGCAAUAGCCAACUAAAAACAGUCUUUACUUACCUUGUCUCUCACCCUCAUUUACUUUUUCAUUUAUUAAAUUACUAAGCGAUAGACCCAGGUCCUUAUUCAAUAAGGCAAUAAGUAUUUAUUGAA